UAUCAAUUUGCGUCAAGUUAUAAAGCUGUAUGAAAUGUAUGUCUUGAUAUUGUUUCAGUUUCGUUUAAAACGCAUCCCAAGUUUUAUUUUUUUCACCAUAAACAAAAUUGGUCCAAAGUAUAAUGACAGUAAUAAGAGUAGGUGUGCAGUUAAAUACUUUAAAAAAGUGAAACCAUUGAACUAUAUUUUUCGCCUUUGACAGUCACACUCCUAAUCUUGAGUAGUAUCUUUAAGAACAUCAAAACCAUUAAUACGUAGUAAAACUAUUCAAGUUGUACACCAUUUGUUGAAUAAUAAUAUUUUAUUACAUUUAUCAGUAUUAAAUUACAAGUAUUGUUUAGUACAUAUGAAAGAAUGAAGCAAUACAACUAUAGAAGAUUUAAGUUUAAUCAAUCUAGCGUACAUUGCUGUUUUUCAUGUAACAAUAACGUAAUGUAACCGUAGCCUCAGUAAUUAUUGUUACAUUUGUAAUUAAUCGGUUCCUCACCCAACUUUGCAUUCCGGCAAUUAGUCUCCAAUGCAACAAUAAUAUUUUUAUUGUUGUUACAUUUCCAUGUAACCGUAGCCAGUGCCUAAAAUAAAU
This 583-nucleotide long non-coding RNA is filed under the name Mytilus galloprovincialis (Mediterranean mussel). Lineage: Eukaryota; Metazoa; Mollusca; Bivalvia; Mytilida; Mytilidae. The record is from RNAcentral.